Long non-coding RNA from Lagopus muta (rock ptarmigan), 471 nucleotides. RefSeq lists it as uncharacterized. The record is from RefSeq and is a predicted model, not a curated record. The transcript has 3 exons. NCBI's taxonomy places the organism in Eukaryota, Metazoa, Chordata, Aves, Galliformes, Phasianidae.
GCUUCACCUCUCCUAGACCCCAUUUAAGAGCUGACUACCAGUAGGGAAGGAUCUCUUCUGGGUAUCUCUUCUUUGGACUUUUACAGCAAGCCCAGGACAAGGAGCGCAGCCCAUGAAGACAAACAAAACAACAGAAAUGUAAUCCCUUUCAGCCUCUGGGGCAAAAUAGGCAAAUGGGUACAAAGAUGCUUACGGGAAGUCAUUAAUCUUUCAUGAGACCAUUCUACCAUUUCUUAAUUCAGAACAAUAAAAGCUUGGAAAGGCAUGCAUUCUCAUGUCACUGUCUACUUCAAGGGAAAGGAAGUUCUAAUGGAAGAUAAAUUUGAUCAAAUGAUAGCAAGAGAUAAUGAAAUAACUGUGUUAAAGAGAGUAGUGCAGCAGUAAAGAAAGAAAAAAGCCCUUGAACUUUAUUCUUUUUUUCUGUACAAGGCCAGAUGGGAUCUGAAAACAUCAUGAAGUAUUACAGCUGAA